This is a long non-coding RNA of Columba livia (rock pigeon), 2567 nucleotides long. RefSeq lists it as uncharacterized. The record is from RefSeq and is a predicted model, not a curated record. The transcript is spliced from 2 exons. Lineage: Eukaryota; Metazoa; Chordata; Aves; Columbiformes; Columbidae.
CAGGAUUUAGCGCCGUGUUAUUUCUUUUUUAUGUAGCCGUCGCGUUGGCAAUGGUACCGGGCAUUGGGGAUCGGUCCUGUGCUGGGGUUCGGCACGCCUGUAUCCAUUUGGUGUCUACCCUGUAAUUUCAUUUAAUGAAAAUAAUCCUCUGCAGUAAAAAAGUUGUAUCCCACCUGGAUGCCGUGCUCUUUUAAACUGAAAUGCCAUUUAUCAUUUAUAUCGCAGGUUGGUUUAUAUUUUUAAAGCAAGCUUUGUUAAUGGAAACCACAUUCAUCACUAGGCAGCCCUUUCCAUCUUAAGACGUUUCUGCAAUAGCAUUUCGUGCUCUCGGGCCUCGGUCCAACGCUCUCCUGUCCGGACACUGGCACUCACGGUCCCGAUGACCACAAACCGUGCUCAGAUCCGACUGCAACAUCAGAUGUCCCUGCUGCCGGUGCCAAGGGCUCUCCACACGCGCCAGCCCAGGUCCCGUGCUGGCCCCUCACCGCGCUUCUGCAGAGCCUCCCGUCACCGUGCCCAGCAAAACGGGAAAGCGGAGACAUGGGCCACAAAUGCGGCUCUUUUCUUUUUUUUUUUUUUUGGUAAAUAGAGCCGAGCAUUGCUGGAGAACUAUGCUAGUCCUAAGGCAGCACUUCCAGAGUUAAGGGUGGAUUUAUUAUUUGUUAUGAGGAGUGGCUGAGGGAACUGGGGCUUGUUUAACCUGGAGAAAAGGAGGCUGAGGGGAGACCUUAUUGCUGUCUGCAACUACCUGAAAGGAGGUUGUAGCAUGGAGGGUGUUGGUCUCUUCUCCCAAGUAACAAGUGAUAGGACAAGAGGAAAUGGCCUCAAGUUGUGCCAGGGGAGGUUUAAAUUGGAUAUUAGGAAAAAAUUCUUCACCGAAAGGGUUAUCAGGCAUUGGAACAGGCUGCCCAGGGCAGUGGUGGGGUCAGCAGCCCUGGAGGGGUUUAAAAGGCAUUGAGACAAGGUUCUUAGGAACAUGGUUUAGUGCUAGAGUUAGGUUAUGGUUGGACUCAAUGAUCCUGAGGAUCUCUUCCAACUGAAAUGAUUCUAUGAUUUUCCGUUCCGCCUAACAACUGGCACAUAGCACGGGCAGAUUUCACCUACCUGAGUUUCCUCUCAGAAGCAGAUGGGACCCCUUGACUCCACAAAGCCUUGAAGAAAGCAGAUGGGUAAAAGAAGACGAGCGAGAGCAGUGGGCGGACGGGAGAAUGGGAGCACGCACAUAGCCUAAGGCAAGAGGAAAGAAGAUAUGGGACCUCUUACUGUGGGACAUCAAGGGCCCGAAGAAGUGUAUGGUAGGAGCUGUGAGGAGAAGUCCAUGAAAUGGGAACAGGACGCGUAACAUUCAGAAAGCUUGUGAGAAAGUGGGGAGGGAAAAGCCCUCAAGUGUGUGUUGUUUGGCCCGCAGGAACUACCAACACCAUCUUCCCAUCCAUCUGCUGAGCAGUGACAAUGUGCUGAACUGAAGUCAUCUGACUGAAGGAUUCCGUGGUCUGGUGAUCUCAAAAUGUUCCGUCACAGCUCUGGGGUGCCAGGCUUUCCCUUUUAACAUGAUGAUAUACGCGACUGUGUGAUUACCCAAGUAUACAUUCCGCUCUGUAGAAUCUACAAAAUGCAUUCUGCUAGUUUUGUGCUUUAGUUGUUUUACCCUAUCCAUUUUGUUCUGGUAUCCCUUCUUGAAGAUGAACACCUCACAGGUCUGCACAAAGGCCAUACUUUCCAUUAUGAGCUUUAAACUUUGUAGUUCUGUUGCCUAAAUAUGCAGCUGGGCUCAGUGUUACCUGGGCCGCUUCCAGAGCAUACGGGAGGGAGGUUCUCACUUUCAGAGGUUUCCAAGAACGGAUGUUGGGUAACAUGGGGCAGCUCAGCAGGUUAUGGUUUGCAGCAGGCUGUUGUGAGUGAGCCGAGCUUAAGGAGUUGGCUUUGCCUUGAGCCGGGAGAGGCACUUUUAAACAAUAACUGUUGCUACAUUUCCUUUCCCAAACUCUCCCAGUAGUGAAAAAGAUAGGACCAAACCCUAACUUCUGAGUGUAGAACUGGAGCGGAUCUGAGGUCUUGAUUCACCCACGUGUUUGGAUACAAGUGCUUCAGUAUCACGCCUGCUCACGUUCCAUGGCUCUGUCAUCCCAACUACUGGAAAGUCUUCUCACAGCCAUAUUUGUAAGACACAUUCUUAAAAUAGUCGAAAUUACAUGUAAUAGUGAGUGCUCGGCCUUGUAAGCACAUAUAAGCAAAUAUUUGUAAUAACUGGACCAGUGUUUGCACAGCACCAAGCACACUGCCCGAACUCCAUAAAUAAUAAUACUUGGCACUCACAGAGUGGUUUCCAUUUUCAAAGCACUUUAGUCAUAACCCUUGACACCUAUAUGGCCUUUUACAUCUUUACAAGAAUUAAUUAAUCCUCACAAUGUCCUGUGAGAUAGGUAUGCACUGCAAUAAUAACAAUAACAAUUAAUAAUUCAUGCAUUCUUCUAAAAAAUCACUUCAGGGAUUAAAAUGCAUCUGUAAUACUUGUUUUUUUAAUAACAUUUUCCAGCAAAUAAUAAAAGCCAUGCUAUUGUGUUAAA